AUUCAGGUACUGUUGUAAUAUAACAGAAGUGUUUUAUUGUCAUUCUGCAGUUUUAUUGACAUUCUGCCUGUUUAAAACAUUUGAUACAUUACUGUUGCUGUCUAGCACCAUUCCAUAGUAAGACAGAGACACUUGGUCUCAAAUAU
This 146-nucleotide small nucleolar RNA is filed under the name Tupaia belangeri (northern tree shrew). RNAcentral describes it as "Small nucleolar RNA SNORA63 (ENSTBEG00000021162.1)". Lineage: Eukaryota; Metazoa; Chordata; Mammalia; Scandentia; Tupaiidae. The record is from RNAcentral.